This is a small nucleolar RNA of Choloepus hoffmanni (Hoffmann's two-fingered sloth), 131 nucleotides long. The record is from Ensembl. NCBI's taxonomy places the organism in Eukaryota, Metazoa, Chordata, Mammalia, Pilosa, Megalonychidae.
GUGCAUCUAUUUGACAGACCUGGAACAGUUAAGAUCUGCUUCUAAGGUUUCCACAACAGAUGCAAGAGAAAAGAUCCUUGUGCUUUCUGUCUUUCUGAUCAUUGUAGAAGACUGAAUGGGGCAUUUCAGGA